Molecule: transfer RNA, 71 nt
Filed under: Candidatus Roizmanbacteria bacterium
Lineage: Bacteria; Candidatus Roizmaniibacteriota
Description: tRNA-Gln
Rfam family: tRNA
About the family: Transfer RNA (tRNA) molecules are approximately 80 nucleotides in length. Their secondary structure includes four short double-helical elements and three loops (D, anti-codon, and T loops).
Source: RNAcentral
UGCGGGAUCGUCUAAUGGUAGGACAAUAGCCUUUGAAGCUAUGUAUCUUGGUCCGAAUCCAAGUCCCGCAA